GGAUUCAUAUUGAAAGAUUCGUUGGUGACGGAUGGGCUCGCGUAACAUUAGCUAGUCGGCGGGGUAACGGCCCACCGAGGCUACGAUGUUUAGGGGUUCUGAGAGGAAGGUCCCCCACACCGGAACUGAGACACGGUCCAGACUCCUACGGGAGGCAGCAGUAAGGAAUAUUGGUCAAUGGGCGGAAGCCUGAACCAGCCAUGCCGCGUGCAGGAAUAAGGCCCUAUGGGUCGUAAACUGCUUUUCCUUGAGGGCAAUAAGGGUCACGUGUGGUCCGAUGAGAGUAUCAGGGGAAUAAGCAUCGGCUAACUCCGUGCCAGCAGCCGCGGUAAUACGGAGGAUGCGAGCGUUAUCCGGAUUUAUUGGGUUUAAAGGGUGCGUAGGCGGAUUAUUAAGUCAGUGGUGAAAUACCCGUGCUCAACAUGGGCCGUGCCAUUGAUACUGGUAGUCUAGAGUUCCGUUGCCGUGGGAGGAAUGAGUAGUGUAGCGGUGAAAUGCUUAGAUAUUACUCAGAACACCGAUUGUGAAGACAUCUCACGAAGCGGCGACUGACGCUGAGGCACGAAAGCGUGGGGAUCGA
This 580-nucleotide ribosomal RNA is filed under the name uncultured rumen bacterium. Its description in RNAcentral is "bacterial SSU rRNA". It matches the Rfam family "Bacterial small subunit ribosomal RNA", at positions 191 to 771 of the family's 1533-position model. The record is from RNAcentral.